RNAcentral lists this small RNA (29 nucleotides) under Bombyx mori (domestic silkworm). RNAcentral's name for it is "ovarian small RNA-29740". Lineage: Eukaryota; Metazoa; Arthropoda; Insecta; Lepidoptera; Bombycidae. The record is from RNAcentral.
UCUCGCAGCGCUCGAGGCGCACGGUGGGG